UGCGUAGGCGGCGCUAUAAGUCAGAGGUGAAAGGCCACAGCUUAACUGUGGGACUGCCUUUGAUACUCUAGUGCUUGAAUUAGGUUGAGGUCGGCGGAAUGUGACAUGUAGCGGUGAAAUGCUUAGAUAUGUCAUAGAACACCAAUUGCGAAGGCAGCUGACUAGACCUUAAUUGACGCUGAGGCACGAAAGCGUGGGGAGCGAACAGGAUUAGAUACCCUGGUAGUCC
This 229-nucleotide ribosomal RNA is filed under the name uncultured bacterium. RNAcentral's name for it is "partial 16S ribosomal RNA". It matches the Rfam family "Bacterial small subunit ribosomal RNA", at positions 568 to 796 of the family's 1533-position model. The record is from RNAcentral.